UGGGUUUGUUAGAGUUGCAGAGGCCAAGUC
Molecule: non-coding RNA, 30 nt
Filed under: Rattus norvegicus (Norway rat)
Lineage: Eukaryota; Metazoa; Chordata; Mammalia; Rodentia; Muridae
Source: RNAcentral